This 292-nucleotide ribosomal RNA is filed under the name uncultured bacterium. RNAcentral's name for it is "partial 16S ribosomal RNA". It matches the Rfam family "Bacterial small subunit ribosomal RNA", at positions 505 to 796 of the family's 1533-position model. The record is from RNAcentral.
GUGUCAGCAGCCGCGGUAAGACGAACCGUGCAAACGUUGUUCGGAAUCACUGGGCUUAAAGGGCGCGUAGGCGGAUUCACAAGUCUGUGGUGAAAUCCUCCAGCUUAACUGGAGAAGUGCCGUGGAUACUGUGAGUCUCGAGGAGGAUAGGGGCAUCUGGAACUGCCGGUGGAGCGGUGAAAUGCGUUGAUAUCGGCAGGAACUCCGGUGGCGAAGGCGAGAUGCUGGAUCCUUUCUGACGCUGAGGCGCGAAAGCCAGGGGAGCAAACGGGAUUAGAAACCCCUGUAGUCC